This 262-nucleotide long non-coding RNA is filed under the name Hordeum vulgare. RNAcentral describes it as "long non-coding RNA (HVUL_LNC008699)". Lineage: Eukaryota; Viridiplantae; Streptophyta; Magnoliopsida; Poales; Poaceae. The record is from RNAcentral.
GGGCCCUAGUGACAAGCAUUAAGCUUGGCAAAGUAGUAGCAACAUCAAUCUCAGAACAUAGUGGAUACUAGGGAUCAAUCCCCGUCAAAACUAACUCGAUUACAUGAUAGAUCUCAUCCUACUCAUCACCGCCCAGCGAGCCUACGAAUAGAUUACUCACAAACGACGAAGAGCUUCAUGUAAUUGGAGAGGGAAGAAGGUUGAUGAUGACGAUGGCGACGAUUUCCCCUCUCCGGAGCCCAAAACGGACUCCAGAUCUGCC